RNAcentral lists this long non-coding RNA (444 nucleotides) under Nicotiana benthamiana. Its description in RNAcentral is "long non-coding RNA (NBEN_LNC039236)". The record is from RNAcentral. Lineage: Eukaryota; Viridiplantae; Streptophyta; Magnoliopsida; Solanales; Solanaceae.
UUUUAACUUAGGUGCUUUUUAACUUUAAAUUGCUUUUAUCAUUAUUUUAAAGAGAAUUCCAACGUUGUUAAAAUAUAUCUCGAACCACGUCACAUAUAUGAACCCGUGGAUUUUGACACAUUCCAACUUCGUUGAGAUUUGGAUUUUGGUCACAUAAAUGUGCACCUGUAAUUAGGAAAGUGAAUUAUUAAAGAUGCGUCCUACGACGACUGGCACGUUGUUAUCUUUGCGAGAAACCGUAGAUGUUUACUAAAUGGCUUGUCUCAAAUUCUUAUGUGUUUUAGACUUAUCAUUUUACAAGAGAUAGCCCAAAGGACUGUUUGCUACUAAAAGUGAUUCUAAAAGCUAACUAUGAGAGUUUAGUGUUGAUGCCACAUCGGAGUGGCCUGAGUUCAUAUAUCAAUUGGGCCUCAACGAAACCCAACUUAACAGCCCUAUCCUUGG